Molecule: long non-coding RNA, 720 nt
Filed under: Rattus norvegicus (Norway rat)
Lineage: Eukaryota; Metazoa; Chordata; Mammalia; Rodentia; Muridae
Description: long non-coding RNA NONRATT002658
Source: RNAcentral
GACAGAGAAAGUUAGAGCAUUUUGAAAGAAGUUUCCUCCAUUCAGGUGGAAGAAGAAGGAGCCGGCAGAGAGCACACAGACCGACAGAAAUGCCAGGCAGAGCUGCUUCCGGCUGGGAGUCCACAUAGCUACGGGGAGGAGAGAUGACGACCAGGACACCGAAGCCCACCUGGAGAUCAGGGAGGACGGAACAGUGGUGGGCACAGCACACCGCAGUCCAGAAAGUCUCCUGGAGCUCAAAGCCUUGAAGCCAGGGGUCAUUCAAAUCCUGGGUGUCAAAGCCUCUAGGUUUCUUUGCCAACAACCAGAUGGAACUCUCUAUGGAUCGUUUCAGAGAGCUGCUGCUUAAGGACGGAUACAAUGUGUACCAGUCUGAGGCCCAUGGCCUGCCCCUGCGUCUGCCCCAGAAGGACUCCCAGGAUCCAGCAACCCGGGGACCUGUGCGCUUCCUGCCCAUGCCAGGCCUGCCCCACGAGCCCCAAGAGCAACCAGGAGUCCUUCCCCCAGAGCCCCCAGAUGUGGGUUCCUCCGACCCCCUGAGCAUGGUAGAGCCUUUGCAAGGCCGAAGCCCCAGCUAUGCAUCUUGAAUCUUCCCGAUUCUAGGCAUGUUUCUCUUUAGGUUUCCUCUUAUUUAUUAUGGGUAUUUAUCUUAUUUAUUUAUUUUAAAGUUUUUUUUCUUACUUGGAAUAAUAAAGAGUCUGAAAGAAAAUUUUGUUUGUU